RNAcentral lists this small nuclear RNA (93 nucleotides) under Neogale vison (American mink). Lineage: Eukaryota; Metazoa; Chordata; Mammalia; Carnivora; Mustelidae. The record is from RNAcentral.
GUGCUCACUUUAACAACACAUAUCCUAAAAUUGGAACGAUACAGAGAAGAUAAGCAUAACCUCUGCGUGAGGAUGACACGCAAAUUUAUGAAA